Long non-coding RNA from Toxorhynchites rutilus septentrionalis, 1269 nucleotides. RefSeq lists it as uncharacterized. The transcript is spliced from 3 exons. Lineage: Eukaryota; Metazoa; Arthropoda; Insecta; Diptera; Culicidae. The record is from RefSeq and is a predicted model, not a curated record.
CAAAUCACAGGCAAAAUUCCAGAACAUUUAUUUUCUUGGUGAGCCGACGAUAGUCUAGCUUGAUGGGGAAUCACAAAACACAAUUGAAACACAAUUGUGUAGCUCAGAACCUUAAUCCAAUGGCGUCAGUUUGAUGCAUUGCUUGCAAUGCCAGAGACAUCGUCUCUGGCAUUGCAAGACAGCCUGAUCACGAACGUCACUUCACGGUGAACACAAAGUGAAUUGUAUACCACGUUAUUACGGCUGCCACCGUGUGUGUAGAAUUCGGAAGAGUUCAUCCGUCGUGACAACUUUGAUGAACUCGGUGUUAUUAUGAAUACCACGAUACUGUCACGUCACGGAGAAAAACAAGUAUAUUUGUCACUUGUGUUUUAGAUGGUGAAAGCUAGUCACGCGAAAUGGAGAAAGAAAAGAUAAACAAACAGCAAUUUACCCGCCAGGUCGCAUUUUUAGAACGAAAUCCUGACGUAUCCAGAAGAUGUAAAUUUGUUUAUUAGGAUUCGGAUUACACUAACAGAGAGUUGCAACACUAUGAAAUGGGAAUGGAACUGGCCCAAAUACGCUGUAAUAGUGUGAGAGAAACAAUAAUUAAUAAUCUCUCAUUAGAAAGAACGAUCAUCAUGAUUGAUUAUGUAUAAUAUUGAUUUGUUGAUAUUUUGAGUAUAAAACAAUAACUGUAAAGUUUUUCCAACAUUGCAGUGCUGGUUUUAUGUAAUUCAAACAUUCGCAAUUGGUAGACAAGACCCGAAUCAGGACAAUAGUUAUAACGAAUAAGGCCAUUGUUUUUUUAACGUAAUAGAUAUUCUCAUAACGUUUUGAAGACAUACUUUGAAUGAAAGAAUAUUAAAAAAGUGAUAAUAAGUUUCAAACAUGGAAAAAUGAGUCUAUCAUUGCUAAGCAUUCACAAGAUACUGUUUUUAAAUUCUUCUCCAGUUCUUCCAUAAUUUUGAUAUCCAUCUGAAGUAAAUCUGAAUCAUAUUCUGCUUUUGGCAAAUUCUUUGAAACUCAUCAGAUGUUGUAUAUGAAGAUUAUGCUUCUGACCGACGCUGCUGAACAGUUUCUGUUUAAAUAAUUAAAUCAACCCUCAUGUCCCUUAUAUCAAAUUACACGAGAAUGGGAAGGAUAAGAGGAUUAAACUUCAGAAUCCUAUAUGGGGGUAGCUGAGAUUAUACUGAUCGUGAGGUGGAUAAAUUUAUUAUUAAACAUAAUAGUCAUUUCUAUCAAUUUAUAGAAAAAGAAAAUAAAAUUACAAUCUCAUAUGUUCAACAA